UUGACUUAUAAUUCAUUGUUU
Molecule: non-coding RNA, 21 nt
Filed under: Caenorhabditis elegans
Lineage: Eukaryota; Metazoa; Nematoda; Chromadorea; Rhabditida; Rhabditidae
Source: RNAcentral